RNAcentral lists this ribosomal RNA (712 nucleotides) under Escherichia coli. Its description in RNAcentral is "partial 23S ribosomal RNA". It matches the Rfam family "Bacterial large subunit ribosomal RNA", at positions 480 to 1191 of the family's 2925-position model. The record is from RNAcentral. Lineage: Bacteria; Pseudomonadati; Pseudomonadota; Gammaproteobacteria; Enterobacterales; Enterobacteriaceae.
CUGACCGAUAGUGAACCAGUACCGUGAGGGAAAGGCGAAAAGAACCCCGGCGAGGGGAGUGAAAAAGAACCUGAAACCGUGUACGUACAAGCAGUGGGAGCACAGAGCAAUCUGUGUGACUGCGUACCUUUUGUAUAAUGGGUCAGCGACUUAUAUUCUGUAGCAAGGUUAACCGAAUAGGGGAGCCGAAGGGAAACCGAGUCUUAACUGGGCGUUAAGUUGCAGGGUAUAGACCCGAAACCCGGUGAUCUAGCCAUGGGCAGGUUGAAGGUUGGGUAACACUAACUGGAGGACCGAACCGACUAAUGUUGAAAAAUUAGCGGAUGACUUGUGGCUGGGGGUGAAAGGCCAAUCAAACCGGGAGAUAGCUGGUUCUCCCCGAAAGCUAUUUAGGUAGCGCCUCGUGAAUUCAUCUCCGGGGGUAGAGCACUGUUUCGGCAAGGGGGUCAUCCCGACUUACCAACCCGAUGCAAACUGCGAAUACCGGAGAAUGUUAUCACGGGAGACACACGGCGGGUGCUAACGUCCGUCGUGAAGAGGGAAACAACCCAGACCGCCAGCUAAGGUCCCAAAGUCAUGGUUAAGUGGGAAACGAUGUGGGAAGGCCCAGACAGCCAGGAUGUUGGCUUAGAAGCAGCCAUCAUUUAAAGAAAGCGUAAUAGCUCACUGGUCGAGUCGGCCUGCGCGGAAGAUGUAACGGGGCUAAACCAUG